CAGUCGCCACGGGAAUACGGAGGGAGCUAGCGUUGUUCGGAAUUACUGGGCGUAAAGCGUGCGUAGGCGGCUUUUUAAGUCGGAUGUGAAAUCCCUGAGCUUAACUUAGGAAUUGCAUUCGAUACUGGGAAGCUAGAGUAUGGGAGAGGAUGGUAGAAUUCCAGGUGUAGCGGUGAAAUGCGUAGAGAUCUGGAGGAAUACCGAUGGCGAAGGCAGCCAUCUGGCCUAAUACUGACGCUGAGGUACGAAAGCAUGGGGAGCAAACAGGAUUAGAUACCCCCGUAGUCCCUGUCUCUUAUAA
Molecule: ribosomal RNA, 301 nt
Filed under: uncultured bacterium
Lineage: Bacteria
Description: partial 16S ribosomal RNA
Rfam family: Bacterial small subunit ribosomal RNA
Source: RNAcentral